AUAUGUGGGGGAGUGGCAGUAUCGUAGCCAAUGAGGUUAAUCCGAGGCGCGAUUAUUGCUAAUUGAAAACUUUUCUGCCCAGUGCAUGUGUAACCCUUGUCCACUAGAGGGAGAUAAAGAGUUGGGGUAUUCCUUAUAAGGA
Molecule: small nuclear RNA, 142 nt
Organism: Eublepharis macularius
Lineage: Eukaryota; Metazoa; Chordata; Lepidosauria; Squamata; Eublepharidae
Product: U4 spliceosomal RNA
Exons: 1
Source: RefSeq, a predicted model, not a curated record